Molecule: ribosomal RNA, 253 nt
Filed under: uncultured bacterium
Lineage: Bacteria
Description: partial 16S ribosomal RNA
Rfam family: Bacterial small subunit ribosomal RNA
Source: RNAcentral
UACAGAGACUGCAAGCGUUAUUCGGAUUCACUGGGCGUAAAGGGUGCGCAGGCGGCCGUGUGUGUAAGGUGUGAAAUCCCGGGGCUCAACCCCGGAACUGCGCCUUAAACUACAUGGCUAGAGUAUUGGAGAGGGUAGUGGAAUUCACGGUGUAGCAGUGAAAUGCGUAGAUAUCGUGAGGAACACCAGAGGCGAAGGCGACUACCUGGACAAUUACUGACGCUCAGGCACGAAAGCGUGGGGAGCAAAAGGG